GCGUGGGUCCUGUGCGACGGAGCGCUGUGAAUCAUGUCAGGCGGGGAACCGAGCAGCAUUAAGCGGUUAGCACUGUGCGCCACAGUAAGCCUGCUCGCC
This 99-nucleotide signal recognition particle RNA is filed under the name Clostridiales bacterium. RNAcentral's name for it is "signal recognition particle sRNA small type". It matches the Rfam family "Bacterial small signal recognition particle RNA". From Rfam's summary of the family: The signal recognition particle (SRP) is a universally conserved ribonucleoprotein involved in the co-translational targeting of proteins to membranes. Archaeal SRP consists of a 7S RNA and homologues of the eukaryotic SRP19 and SRP54 proteins. In most bacteria, the SRP consists of a 4.5S RNA and the Ffh protein (a homologue of the eukaryotic SRP54 protein). RNAcentral also lists the same sequence under 4 other names. The record is from RNAcentral. Lineage: Bacteria; Bacillati; Bacillota; Clostridia; Eubacteriales.